UGCAUGCGAAUCACAUGUAGCCCCAGGUACCAAAGUGCUGUUGGACUGUUGGAGUAAGUGAACGAGAGAGAGAGAGUAUGUGUGUGCCUCCAAGGUGAUGGGACUCCAACCGAACGUGCCCGUCUUGCCACUCCAAUUAAUUUAGCAUUAUAUCUAUCACGUAUCUCUAGUGCGUAUAUUUUGGAAUUUUUAUAAUUUUUUUGAUAGGGUGCUAUUUGCUUUGUUUUAAUUACAUUUUUGUCUUCAAAAAAGAAGGACAAGUAUAUGAGUCGUAGACUUGUACGUGUACAUUAAAUUUGGCUUUAUACUGUCUAUCCAAAAAUAAUCGUGGGGAAAAAGAUUAUAGGAAGAGACCUCAAUACGUAAAUCCAUAUCAUUAUUGUAAAUUGUAGUUGAAUAUUCAAAGAGAGAGACACAGAGCAUUUAUUAUAUAAAGAUGUAUAUAAUUUCUAGGAGCCGCGAGGACGGAGGAGUGAAGUUGAAGCCUGGACUGCAGUUUCUUCUUCUUCUUUUUUUUUUUUCUUUUUCUUUUUUGGUUCUUCGCACAGAAAGCGAAGCUUGUCUUUCGCUGCGCUGUUAUGCUUUUGGUCACUGGAGCUUCUCAAAUUUCAAAGUAAAAAAGAUGGAAGGAGGAAAA
This 637-nucleotide long non-coding RNA is filed under the name Vitis vinifera (wine grape). Its description in RNAcentral is "long non-coding RNA (VVIN_LNC007301)". The record is from RNAcentral. Lineage: Eukaryota; Viridiplantae; Streptophyta; Magnoliopsida; Vitales; Vitaceae.